Long non-coding RNA from Populus nigra (black poplar), 1511 nucleotides. RefSeq lists it as uncharacterized. The transcript has 2 exons. Lineage: Eukaryota; Viridiplantae; Streptophyta; Magnoliopsida; Malpighiales; Salicaceae. The record is from RefSeq and is a predicted model, not a curated record.
GCAAAGACUUAGAUCAUGGAUUCAUUUCAAAGUCCACAGAGAAGAAAAACAUCAAGCUAUCAUUAUUAAUACAACCAUUAUUGAUACAACAGCUUUGAUGUGGAGAUUAAAAAUAAAAAAAUCCGCUGCGUUGACAAUGUCAAAGGACCUUGAAAUCUGUGGAUUCCUUUUCUUUUUCUUUUUCAUUAAUAGAUAAUCUUAGAUCCAAGUUGUUCUCUAACUGGGUCCAACGCUGGCCAUCUACCCACAACCACCGUGAGGGAGCAGGCUACUUUCAGCCGGAUAAGCCUCAAAGUAUAAGGCCAUCUAUAUUAACGACACUACCGGGCUGUUGCUAGCAUUGGCGAGCCUUCAACUCACACGACCAGCCCUCCAUAUUCCAAAAGAGUUGAGGGACUCGGAUGCUUUACUGAGAUGGCAACUGAUAGACAGAACUGACCGGGAAAGAGCAAGAGACCAAGAUUUAUUUGAUGUCUUCUCCACUGGGAAUUCAAUAAGAUUUCCAUAUCUCGUGAUAACCAAUCCAGAGCAGAAGAGUGCCCAGCAGCAUUCCCUUGCUCUUGAUGGAAGGAUGGCUGCCAUUUCUAUUAACAUGAUCCUGGCAGUUUCGCAACAGCCAACAGGGAUAUGAUUUUUGAAGGACUCGCCAUUCUGUGAAGCAACAUCUGUUUUUUAAACUAGGUGAUCAAAAAGAAAGAAUCUAUUGUUAGAAACCCAUAUAAGAAAAGAAAAAGAGACGGGUCCCUAGUUUCAAGCUUGUGCUAGUUGUCCAUUACACAUCCUUGCAUUACGGCAUUAUAAGAAAUGUGAGCUUCAUCCAUAACCAUUAGGGAUUUUGUUCCCGUUGUUCUCUGAUUUUACAGAUUAGUUUUAGUUUUUUCGAUGAGGUCAAUAUGUGGUAGGUUCACGGGUUUAAAAUGAGGGACGAAACUGCUGAUAGGGAUUGACACAGCUCAUGCACUCCAUUAGCUUCUCACAAGUCAUUAAAAAUCGGGUCACGCUCCGUUCAAGAAUAUGUUAAAAUAACGUAGUGAUAGUCACGCAAAGUAAUGACUAUAGGAGUACAAGUUGAGCAACAGCACCUUGCUUAAGAGAUAGGAAAGCUACUUCCCACGAGUAAUGACAUGUUAGAACAAUUUAGCAAAAGGAAUCAUGAAACCUUUAGAAGAAAAUGACAAUACUUUAACAUUUAGUACUUGAAAGACAAUAUAUAAGCUAAGGGAUUGCCUAUGCAGCAUGUGAAUUGGAUCAGAGCAUGUGCGGCUAGUCCUUUCUCCAUUUCUAUUAAUGGCAAUUUGUGUAGGUAUUUGCUGGCUCUAAAUGGCUUCGGCAAGGAGAUCCUCUUUCCCCUUACCUGUUUGUAGUAGCAAUGGAAGUGCUUUCUUGCUUGCUGAAUAAUGCUGCUAUUAAUGAGUAUUGUUCCCUAUCAUCCAAAGUGUAGUAAGAUUAAACUUACACGUUUGUGCUUUGUGGAUGUUCUUAUGAUUUUCACAAAGGGAGAUGUUGCAUCC